Molecule: ribosomal RNA, 564 nt
Filed under: uncultured bacterium
Lineage: Bacteria
Description: partial 16S ribosomal RNA
Rfam family: Bacterial small subunit ribosomal RNA
Source: RNAcentral
UGGGGAAUAUUGCACAAUGGGGGAAACCCUGAUGCAGCAACGCCGCGUGAGUGAUGACGGUCUUCGGAUUGUAAAGCUCUGUCUUUAGGGACGAUAAUGACGGUACCUAAGGAGGAAGCCACGGCUAACUACGUGCCAGCAGCCGCGGUAAUACGUAGGUGGCAAGCGUUGUCCGGAUUUACUGGGCGUAAAGGGAGCGUAGGUGGAUAUUUAAGUGGGAUGUGAAAUACCCGGGCUUAACCUGGGUGCUGCAUUCCAAACUGGAUAUCUAGAGUGCAGGAGAGGAAAGGAGAAUUCCUAGUGUAGCGGUGAAAUGCGUAGAGAUUAGGAAGAAUACCAGUGGCGAAAGGCGCCUUUCUGGACUGUAACUGACACUGAGGCUCGAAAAGCGUGGGGAGCAAAACAGGAUUAGACACCCUGGUAGGUCCACGCCGUAAACGAUGAAUACUAGGUGUAGGGGUUGUCAUGACCUCUGUGCCGCGCUAACGCAUUAAGUAUUCCGCCUGGGGAGUACGGUCGCAAGAUUAAAACUUAAAGGAAUUGACGGGGUCAUAGCUGUUUCCU